CCUACGGGAGGCAGCAGUGAGGAAUAUUGGACAAUGGAGGCAACUCUGAUCCAGCCAUGCCGCGUGCAGGAAGACUGCCCUAUGGGUUGUAAACUGCUUUUAUACAGGAAGAAAUAUUCCUACGUGUAGGUAUUUGACGGUACUGUAAGAAUAAGGAUCGGCUAACUCCGUGCCAGCAGCCGCGGUAAUACGGAGGAUCCAAGCGUUAUCCGGAAUCAUUGGGUUUAAAGGGUCCGUAGGCGGUCUUUUAAGUCAGAGGUGAAAUCCUACAGCUCAACUGUAGAAUUGCCUUUGAUACUGAAGGACUUGAGUUAUUGUGAAGUAAUUAGAAUGUGUGGUGUAGCGGUGAAAUGCAUAGAUAUCACACAGAAUACCGAUUGCGAAGGCAGAUCACUAACAAUAUACUGACGCUGAGGGACGAAAGCGUGGGUAGCGAACAGGAUUAGAUACCCUGGUUAG
RNAcentral lists this ribosomal RNA (459 nucleotides) under uncultured bacterium. RNAcentral's name for it is "bacterial SSU rRNA". It matches the Rfam family "Bacterial small subunit ribosomal RNA", at positions 338 to 793 of the family's 1533-position model. The record is from RNAcentral.